Molecule: ribosomal RNA, 258 nt
Filed under: uncultured bacterium
Lineage: Bacteria
Description: partial 16S ribosomal RNA
Rfam family: Bacterial small subunit ribosomal RNA
Source: RNAcentral
GUCCACACCCUAAACGAUGAUAACUCGUUGUUGGCGAUACACAGUCAGCGACUAAGCGAAAGCAUUAAGUUAUCCACCUGGGGAGUACGGUAGCAAGACUGAAACUCAAAGGAAUUGACGGGGGCCCGCACAAGCGGAGGAGCAUGUGGUUUAAUUCGAUGAUACGCGAGGAACCUUACCUGGGCUUGAAAGUUAGUGAAUGACGCAGAAACGUGUCAGCUCGAAAGAGCACGAAACUAGGUGCUGCAUGGCUGUCGU